RNAcentral lists this non-coding RNA (187 nucleotides) under Frateuria aurantia DSM 6220. RNAcentral describes it as "6S / SsrS RNA". It matches the Rfam family "6S / SsrS RNA". From Rfam's summary of the family: E. coli 6S RNA was the first non coding RNA to be sequenced, but its function was unknown until recently. It consists of 184 nucleotides that fold into an extended hairpin structure with a large single-stranded internal bulge. Lineage: Bacteria; Pseudomonadati; Pseudomonadota; Gammaproteobacteria; Lysobacterales; Rhodanobacteraceae. The record is from Rfam by way of RNAcentral.
CGUUUUCUGCGGUGUGCGCCAGCUCACUCUUACAUUUGCCUUGUUCCUAAAUACGGCCCCGGGUCGGCUUCACAUCGGUUGUUGCGCAUAUCCACUGCGUGUGGAGAGCCUCUAGACCAUGUUUGCCCUCCCACCUGAUCCUCGUGGAUCAAGGUCGUUUGGUGAGCAACGGCACCGCGGUUUACGC